AGCAGUAGCCGCGGGAAUACAGAGGGUGCAAGCGUUAAUCGGAAUUACUGGGCGUAAAGCGCGCGUAGGUGGUUUGUUAAGUUGGAUGUGAAAUCCCCGGGCUCAACCUGGGAACUGCAUCCAAAACUGGCAAGCUAGAGUAUGGUAGAGGGUGGUGGAAUUUCCUGUGUAGCGGUGAAAUGCGUAGAUAUAGGAAGGAACACCAGUGGCGAAGGCGACCACCUGGACUGAUACUGACACUGAGGUGCGAAAGCGUGGGGAGCAAACAGGAUUAGAUACCCCCGUAGUCCCUGUCUCUUAUAC
Molecule: ribosomal RNA, 303 nt
Filed under: uncultured bacterium
Lineage: Bacteria
Description: partial 16S ribosomal RNA
Rfam family: Bacterial small subunit ribosomal RNA
Source: RNAcentral